CCAUCCAGGUGGGGGUUAUGUCAGUAAGUCAGGUGAUGUCCUUCCCUCUAACCUCUCCCUUCCAGGUGGGGGUAAUGUCAGUAAGUCAGGUGAUGUCCUUCCCUCUCCCAUCCAGGUGGGGGUAAUGUCAGUAAGUCAGGUGAUGUCCUUCCCUCUAACCUCUCCCAUCCAGGUGGGGGUAACAGUCAGUAAGUCAGGUGAUGUUCUUCCCUCUAACCUCUACCAUCCAGGUGGGGUUAACAGUCAGUAAGUCAGGUGAUGUCCUUCCCUCUCCCAUCCAGGUGGGGUUAACAGUCAGUUAGUCAGGUGUGGUCCUUCCCUCUAACCUCUCCCAUCCAGGUGGGGGUAAUAUCAGUAAGUCAGGUGAUGUCCUUCCCUCUAACCUCUCCCAUCCAGGUGGGGUUAACAGUCAGUAAGUCAGGUGAUGUUCUUCCCUCUAACCUCUACCAUCCAGGUGGGGUUAACAGUCAG
Long non-coding RNA from Oncorhynchus tshawytscha (Chinook salmon), 471 nucleotides. NCBI's taxonomy places the organism in Eukaryota, Metazoa, Chordata, Actinopteri, Salmoniformes, Salmonidae. The record is from Ensembl.